CUUGUGCCGUGAGGUGUCGGGCUUAAAGUGGCCAAUAACGAGCGCAACCCUUUUUCUUUUAGUUGCCAUCAGGUAAUGCUGGGCACUCUGGAGAUACUGCCACCGUAAGGUGUGAGGAAGGUGGGGAUGACGUCAAAUCAGCACGGCCCUUACGUCCGGGGCUACACACGUGUUACAAUGGGGGGUACAGAGAGUCGGAUAUACGCAAGUAUGUUCUAAUCCUUAAAGCCUUCCUCAGUUCGGAUUGGGGUCUGCAACCCGACCCCAUGAAGCUGGAUUCGCUAGUAAUCGCGCAUCAGCCAUGGCGCGGUGAAUACGUUCCCGGGCCUUGUACACACCGCCCGUCAAGCCAUGAAAGCCGGGGGCGCUUGAAGUCCGUGACCGCAAGGAUCGGCCUAGAGCGAAACUGGUAAUUGGGGUUAAGUAAUAACAAGGUA
This 437-nucleotide ribosomal RNA is filed under the name uncultured bacterium. RNAcentral describes it as "bacterial SSU rRNA". It matches the Rfam family "Bacterial small subunit ribosomal RNA", at positions 1059 to 1498 of the family's 1533-position model. The record is from RNAcentral.